Molecule: long non-coding RNA, 3227 nt
Organism: Physeter macrocephalus (sperm whale)
Lineage: Eukaryota; Metazoa; Chordata; Mammalia; Artiodactyla; Physeteridae
Exons: 5
Source: RefSeq, a predicted model, not a curated record
CCGAGGAAGAGUAGAAACACAAUGGAGAAGGGUGUAUGGUAGUCCUUGGAGAAAAGAGGAAAAGACGAGGGAGGGGCAAUAAAAAAUAGGGAUCUGCUCCCACACUUGCCGGUUUAAGUCAGCCUCUAUCUACAGUUGACCCUGGUCUGACCUCGCUCUCUGGAAUGCUCUGCCUGCCUCUGACUUUCAAGGCAUGUCAACAUGCACUCCAAUGGCAUUCCUGAAGGGAUCUCUUUCUCCUGCGCUCUUGAAAGAAUCCUGCUUCAGCAACUCCCAGGAAGACAGCUGGAUUCUCAUAACUGCUUCUGCAUUCAGCGUGUGGUGACAUCACAUAUCGUGUAGGCUUCCGCAAACCCCACUGUGCACUUAUGAGAGAACAAGAGUGAAAAAGGGAAAGAAGAGAUGGCUUCUGUCUCGACAACUCCUCCAGCCUCUGUCACUGCGGGAGCUCACCAGUCCUCACCUCGACACGGCUGGUGUAGAGACUUCUCCGCCGCUACCCUCCCUCCACUCACGCCGCUGAUUCCACAUAUAGUGACAUCAUACAGCAUUUAUCUUUUUCCACUCAGCAUAAUGCCCUCAAGGUCCAUCCAUGUUGUUGCAAAUGGAAAGAUUUUCUUCUUUUUUAUGGUUAAAUAAUAUUCCUUGUUUUCCUCCUUUAAAAAAAUUUUAAAUUGAAGUAUAGUUGAUGUACAGUAAUAUUAUAUAAGUUACAGGUGCACAAUAUAGUGUUUCACAAUUUUUAAAAGUUAUACUCCAUUUCUAGUUAUUAUAAAAUAUUGGCUCUAUUCCCUGUGUUGUACAAUAUAUUCUUAUGGCUUAUUUUAUACCUAAUAGUUUGUACCUCUUUAUCCCCUAUCCCUAUAUUGCCCUCCCCCCUUCAGUCUCCCCACCGGUAACCACUAGUUUGUUCUCUAUAUCCAGGAGUCUGUUUCUUUUUUGUUACACUCACUAGUUUGUUGCAUUUUUUUAGAUUCCACACAUAAGUGAUAUCAUACAGGAUUUGUCUUUCUCUGUUAAUAUUCCUUAUUUUCUUUAUCCACCUAUCCAUGGAUAGAUUCUUAGGUUGCUUCCACGUCUUGGCUAUCGUAAAUAAUCCUGCAAUGACCAUGGGGGUGCAGGUGUCUCUUCAAGUUAGUGUUCUCAUUUCCUUUGGGUAAAUACUCAGAAGUGGAAUUGCUGGAUCAUAAGGUAGUUCUAUUUUUAAUUUUUUGAGGAAACUCCAUAUUCUUUUCCAUAGUGGCUGCACCACUUCACCCCACAGAUAACAUAAUUCUGGGACUAUUUAAAAGGUUAAUUGAUCAGUUCAAGGGUUCCCAGACAACCCAGCUACUAUACAUUUGAGGCCCAAAUCCACUUGAGGCUGGAGAUUUCAGGGGAAAUUUUCCAUUUUACCCAGAACUCAGAGGAAGACAAGCUUUGUCUUUCUGAGCUAAUGGAUAGUUUUUCUCCCUUUUACAGUGCGGGUAGACCUUCAAAGGCCUCGCUUUUAUGCAGGGGUCUUAGUUUCAGUUCCCUGUCUCAUGUAGGUCUGAGGCUUCACCUCCCAUUUCUGUGUAGGCUAUGCAAUCUAAGCCUGCUGUUUACCAGGUCUAAUAGCCUGUCUCUCCCUACCAGUCAUAGCAUCAGCUCGCCCCCUUCCAGGUCUGCUCUUUUUGUUUGUACCUUUUAUUUGCCAUGUUUGCCUGUGUCAUGUUUUGGCUCCUGAGGUUUCCCUGUCCUUAUUGAGAACUUAGUCAUACAUUAAAAACGUUGUUAUAUGGGAUCCAAAAUUUCCGGGUGAUGAUAAUCAGAAAUUUUCCCUUUUAUCAUAAUCUUCCAUCUUGAUAGUUACUCAUCCAUCCAGCCAUUCAUUCAUUUAUUCACGUGCCUAAUAUGUGCCAGGCACUGGUGAUACAAAGACGACAAGAAUACAUAAAACCCCAGGGGUUAAGAAUCCGCCUGCCAAAGCAGGGGACACGGGUUCGAGCCCUGGUCCGGGAAGAUCCCACGUGCCGGAGCAACUAAGCCCAUUGGCCACAACUACUGAAGCCUGCGCGCCUAGAGCCCGUGCUCCACAACAAGAGAAGCCACCGCAAUGAGAAGCCCACACACCACAACGAAGAGUAGCCCCUGCUCGCCUCAACUAGAGAAAACCCGCGUGCAGUAAAACAAAGACCCAAUGCAGCCAAAAAAUAAAUUUAACAAAAAAACCCAGUGUCACCACACACACACACACACACACACACACACACACACACACACACACACACACACGCACGGUCACUAUAUUAGUUGAUGGCUGUGUUAAUUAGCUUGAUUGUUUAAUCAUUAUAUAAGGCAUACUUACAGCAAAACAUCACAUUGUACGCCUUAAAAAUAUGCAAUUUUUAAAUUUGUCAAUCAUACCUCAAUGCAGCUGGGGAAAACGAGACGAGAGAAGCUUGAGCUGACGAAGAAAACUUUUUGGAGGGCGUGGAACUUAAGCUGAACCGUGAAGGUUAAGGGAAAGGAGACCGAGGUGUACUGAGUGCUGUGUGCUCGGCGCUGUUCUAGGUGCCGAGGUGCAAAAUGGGAGAGAAGCUCUACCUUUAGGGAGUUUCUAAAUGAGUGCAGAGAGCCAGAGAUGGUUGAGGAAAUAGGUCCUGGCAGUGUGGCGUGGGCCAUGUGCUCCAGUGGGGAGGCAUAGCCUGCCAGGGGAGCAGAGAAGAGGCCUUCAAGGAGAUGUUUAAGUUGAAUUUUGAAAAAUGAGUGGCCAUUUGCAGGAUGAAGCCAUAAUGAAAGAGACUAACAGUUUUGACUGCAUACAAUUGAAAACUUACGUAUGAAAAUAAUAAUGGUUGAUAUUUAUUGAGCAUUUACUAUGUGCCAGCUGUAGGUUUCUCAGCAUUGCGCUUUAUCAGGUUGAGGAUGCUCUACUUGGGUCAGUCUUAGAAGCUCAUCAACUUAGAUAGAGAGGGCUGGUCAUCAGAACAGUGUCCUCCAACAGAGAACAGACUUGUGGUUGCCAACGGAGAGAGGGGGUGGGGGAGGGAUGGAUUUGGAGUUGGGAUUAGCAGAUGCAAACUAUUAUAUAUAGGAUGGAUAAACAACAAGGUUCUAUUGUAGAGCACAGGAAACUAGAUUCAACAUCCUGAGAUAAACCAUAAUGGAAAAGAAUAUGAAAAAGGAUGUAUGUAUAUUAUAAGUGAAUCACUUUUCUGUCCAGCAGAAAUUAACCCAACAUUGUAAAUCAGCUCUACUUCAAU